CUCAUAUGGCUCCUCAGGCUUUUGUCUUAAAUCUGUCAAAGUGGAGGCUUUUCCUGGAGUCAAAGGCAAAGACUUCCAGGCAUUCACUGCACACGUAGUUACUUGCCAUAAGGCCUCCUUUCCCAUAUGCAUCUGCUGUUGGGUUGUAUCAUAUUCUCCCUGGCCCAACAACAUAUCUUUAGUAAUAUCAAAUUUAUCCCAUUUCUUAUUUAAAGCAUGUUGCUUAGCCACCCAUUUUUCAUAUUCUGUUUUCCAAAGCAAAUAUUGUCCUCCAGAUAAACAGGCCUUUGCAACCUGAAUCCAGUCAUAUGGAGUCAUCCAUCUAUUUGCCAAGGCAUCUAUAAGAGUCAUAGUAUAAGGCGCCAACGGUCCAUAAUCUACACAGGCCUUUUUAAGUUCUUUUAAAAGUUUUAGAGGCAAAGGAUCCCAAUAUACAUCAUCAUCAUCAAAACCAUCCUCAUAAAUGACUGGAAAGCAGGCGGCAAAAGCAUAAUCAUCAUCGUCACCUUUUAUUCUCCUAUGCUUUUUAUAUUUGCCUUGGCUUUUAUUAAAAGGCGGUGGAGGUGGUAGGCCCUUAACAUUUAAAGUUGAAUGUCCUAAUCUCUUUAAAGGGAGAAAUGAAGAACUUAAAGGUGCCGGUGGGGCGGUCGGUAAACGACCCAAAGGGCGCAUAUCCUGUAAAUUAGGCCUAUUUUUCUUAGUUUCUUGCUUUGAAAAAGCACCAUGGGGUUCAUACUUCCUUCUUUCAUAAUCAUAUACAGCAGCAUCUAAAUCAUCCUGAUCUGCAGGAGGCAAUUCAUCAUCAAAAGGAGGAUUCUUUAACAAAUUAGACUUAUUAUCAAUAGGUGAGUCAAUUUCCUCCUCUGAAUCAUCAUCCUUGAGGUUACAAUCUUUUAAAGCUGCAGCCAUAACCUCAGUUUUUUUAGAUAUUUUUGAGGAAAGUAACGGAGUACAUUCAUCCAUUACUUCUACAGGAUUUUUAUAUAGAUUCUUUUGACCUUCAGGCAAAGGAGCAAUGCUCUCUCUAAUAAGGUUCCAUAAAGUAAAAGUAUCUACUGGAACCUUCUCAGGUCCAAAAUGACUAUAAUAUACUUGCAAAGUUUGUCCCACCUUUUGCCAGGUUUCUAUAUUAACUGUUCCCUGUUCUGGAAACCAUGGGCAUUGUUCCUGUACAAACUGAAAAAACUGAGUUAGUUGCUUACUAGUUACCUUAAUUCCUCUUCCAUUUAUCAUAUGUUUAACUAUAUCAAUAAAUAAGAGCCUCUCUUUGGACUCAGCGUGUCCCAUCUUGACACCGCCUUACUCACCUUCCUAACCAGUAUUCCUAA
Long non-coding RNA from Orcinus orca (killer whale), 1328 nucleotides. RefSeq lists it as uncharacterized. NCBI's taxonomy places the organism in Eukaryota, Metazoa, Chordata, Mammalia, Artiodactyla, Delphinidae. The transcript is spliced from 2 exons. The record is from RefSeq and is a predicted model, not a curated record.